This 506-nucleotide ribosomal RNA is filed under the name uncultured bacterium. Its description in RNAcentral is "partial 16S ribosomal RNA". It matches the Rfam family "Bacterial small subunit ribosomal RNA", at positions 29 to 523 of the family's 1533-position model. The record is from RNAcentral.
AGUGAACGCUGGCGGUAGGCCUAACACAUGCAAGUCGAACGGCAGCACAGGAGAGCUUGCUCUCUGGGUGGCGAGUGGCGGACGGGUGAGGAAUACAUCGGAAUCUACUUUUUCGUGGGGGAUAACGUAGGGAAACUUACGCUAAUACCGCAUACGACCUACGGGUGAAAGCAGGGGAUCUUCGGACCUUGCGCGAUUGAAUGAGCCGAUGCCGGAUUAGCUGGUUGGCGGGGCAAGGGCCCACCAAGGCGACGAUCCGUAGCUGGUCUGAGAGGAUGAUCAGCCACACUGGAACUGAGACACGGUCCAGACUCCUACGGGAGGCAGCAGUGGGGAAUAUUGGACAAUGGGCGCAAGCCUGAUCCAGCCAUACCGCGUGGGUGAAGAAGGCCUUCGGGUUGUAAAGCCCUUUUGUUGGGAAAGAAAUCCAGCUGGUUAAUACCCGGUUGGGAUGACGGUACCCAAAGAAUAAGCACCGGCUAACUUCGUGCCAGCAGCCGCCGCAU